RNAcentral lists this long non-coding RNA (684 nucleotides) under Nicotiana benthamiana. Its description in RNAcentral is "long non-coding RNA (NBEN_LNC013207)". The record is from RNAcentral. Lineage: Eukaryota; Viridiplantae; Streptophyta; Magnoliopsida; Solanales; Solanaceae.
UCCAAUGUAAUAGCGAAAAAACAGGAGAGAUAAAAUUCAAAUCCCAAUUAAGUAUGAGAAACCAAAUAUUACAAAGUGAAUUAGGAAUGCUGCCAACUUUUCUCUCUAAUCAAUCGCUAAUAUAAAACCAAUCUCACCUUCCUACAAAAGAAUAAAAUAACCUAAUUUUUUCUGCAAAUCAUCACCUAUAUUACCUAACCCCUUUGUUAAUUUGUCUUUUUUUUUUUGGGUUAAAAUUUUGGGAAAAUUACAUGGUAUAUCCGUUUAUAAAACUCACUUUCAUAAUAUACCUAAGUUUUGAAAUUACAUCAAAUAUUCCAAAAAUAUUACACGCUAUACCUCCAUAUAUUCUAAAACAUAUCACUAUUCUACUUUGGAAUACAAUCCAAAUUUAAUUUACCAUAUAUACUAAUUUGGAAUAAAAUAUUCUAAUUGAACAGACCAUAUACUUUAAUUUGGAAUAUAUUAUUCAAAUUAAAGAUACCACAAUAUUCUAAUUCGAAAAAUCUAAACCUAGCUUACCCUAAUAUUCUAAUGAAGAAUACAGUAUCCAAACUAAACAUACCAUAAUAUUCUAACAAAACAUACUACACUAUUCUAAUUUGGAAUACUGUAUCCAAACCAAAUGUACUACAAUGUUCUAAUUUGUAUGUUCUGAUGAAAAAUUCGAGGUUUUUCUGAGAU